CCUACGGGGGGCAGCAGUGGGGAAUAUUGGACAAUGGGCGAAAGCCUGAUCCAGCCAUGCCGCGUGUGUGAAGAAGGCCUUCGGGUUGUAAAGCACUUUCAGUGGGGAAGAAAGCCUUGGGGCUAAUACCCUCGAGGAAGGACAUCACCCACAGAAGAAGCACCGGCUAACUCCGUGCCAGCAGCCGCGGUAAUACGGAGGGUGCGAGCGUUAAUCGGAAUUACUGGGCGUAAAGCGCGCGUAGGCGGUCUGAUAAGCCGGUUGUGAAAGCCCCGGGCUCAACCUGGGAACGGCAUCCGGAACUGUCAGGCUAGAGUGCAGGAGAGGAAGGUAGAAUUCCCGGUGGAGCGGUGAAAUGCGUAGGGAUCGGGAGGAAUACCAGUGGCGAAGGCGGCCUUCUGGAUUGACACUGACGCUGAGGUGCGAAAGCGUGGGUAGCAAACAGGAUUAGAUACCCUAGUAGUC
This 465-nucleotide ribosomal RNA is filed under the name Vreelandella stevensii. RNAcentral's name for it is "partial 16S ribosomal RNA". It matches the Rfam family "Bacterial small subunit ribosomal RNA", at positions 338 to 795 of the family's 1533-position model. Lineage: Bacteria; Pseudomonadati; Pseudomonadota; Gammaproteobacteria; Oceanospirillales; Halomonadaceae. The record is from RNAcentral.